AGCGUAUGUUAAAGUUGUUGCGGCUAAAAAGCUCGUAGUUGGAUUUCUGUUGAGGACGGCUGGUCCGCUCUAUGAGCGUGCAUCUAGUUUGGCCUCGGCAUCCGCUCUGCAUACGUUCUGCGCUUGAUUGCGUGGUUCGGAGGUAGGGCCUUUUACUUUGAGGAAAUUAGAGUGUUCACGGCAGGCAAUCGCCUUGAAUAUAUUAGCAUGGAAUAAUAACAUAGGAUCUUGGUUCUAUUUUGUUGGUUUCUAGAGCUGAGAUAAUGAUUAAUAGGGACAAUUGGGGGCAUUCGUAUUGCGGUGUCAGAGGUGGAAUUCUUGGAUUACUGCACGACGAACUACUGCGAAAGCAUUUGCCAAGGAUGUUUUCAUUGAUCAAGAACGAAAGUAAGGGGAUCGAAGACGAUUAGAUACCGUCGUAGUCUUUACCAUAAACUAUGCCAACUAGAGAUGGGGUGUCGUUCUUAUAUGACUCGCUCCGCACCUUAUGAGAAAUCAAAGUUUUUGGGUUCCGGGGGGAGUAUGGUCGCAAGGCUGAAACUUAAAGG
This 548-nucleotide ribosomal RNA is filed under the name uncultured marine picoplankton. RNAcentral describes it as "SSU rRNA". It matches the Rfam family "Eukaryotic small subunit ribosomal RNA", at positions 596 to 1150 of the family's 1831-position model. The record is from RNAcentral.